RNAcentral lists this ribosomal RNA (119 nucleotides) under Neolamprologus brichardi. The record is from RNAcentral. Lineage: Eukaryota; Metazoa; Chordata; Actinopteri; Cichliformes; Cichlidae.
GCAACUGCACAGAGCUGCUGUUUUUCACCCGAUCUCGUCUGAUCUCGGGAGCUAGACAGGGUUGAGCUUGGUUAGUACUUGGAUGGGAGACCGCCUGGGAAUACCAGGUGCUGUAAGCU